RNAcentral lists this unclassified non-coding RNA (1089 nucleotides) under Hevea brasiliensis (rubber tree). The record is from RNAcentral. Lineage: Eukaryota; Viridiplantae; Streptophyta; Magnoliopsida; Malpighiales; Euphorbiaceae.
CGACCUUUUAUUGUUAUGAAAAAUCUUAAAGUUUUUAUGAGGCAGUGAACCUAUAAACCAUAAUGUGCUUGUAAGUUUCCCCUGGAUUCACAAUUUGGGAAGGAAAAUUGGGAUGAUUAACAGAAUCUGGGAAGCCUUGUGUCUCCAAACAAAGUGCAGCAUACUUUGAGUAAACAAAUCCACCUUUUCCCUUAACAUUAUCCAACAUAUUACUUGUAUAAAACUGCACACCAGGUUUAUUAGUCCACAAUUCCAUCUUUCUACCUGAUUUGCUUUCUUCGACAAUAGCAACCCUCCGUAAAUGCUUCCCCUCAGUAUUAUCCAACACAUAGUUGAUAUCAUAUCCACCGGGGAUUUCACUUAACUUGCUCCCUAUUGUCCGUGGCUGGAGGAAAUCGAAGCCUGUUCCCUUAACCGGGGUAAUUUCUCCGUUGGGGAUGAGCUUAUCAUUAACAGGAGUAAUCUUGGACCCGAAAAUCUGAAUAGUUUGGGACAAAAUGUCGCCACUGUUGUGUCCACCAAGAUUCCAGUAACUAUGAGAAGCUAAAUUCACUGGUGUGGCUUUGUUGUGUGGCUUUGCUUGCAUGAUUAAGGCUAACUUGUUUGUCUCAAUGAACAUGUACGUCACCUCAACAGAAACGUUACCUGGAAAUCCUUGUUCACCAUCAAAGCUAUCGUAGGUAAGAGUUAGAUGACUAUCUUCUUCAAAAUCUUCCACAGUCCAUAUUACACUAGAGAAUCCUUUGCUACCCCCAUGGAGUGUGUUUCCAUGAUCAUUAGCUGGUAAUAUAUAUUCCACACCAUUCAGCUCAAAUUUUGCUCCUCCAAUUCGAUUAGCGACUCUUCCAAUCAGUCCACCGAAAUAUGUUGUGUCGUUCUUAUAGUCAUCAAUGGAGUCAUAGCCAAGAACAACAUCAUCCAAUUUUCCAUUUUUAUCAGGAAGUAUAACAGAAAGAACUGUAGCACCAUAAUUUGUGAUCUUUACAGAAAAAUCACCCUUCUUCAACUCAUAAACUUUAAUUUCUUCAGUUGCUUUACAUGAAUUUUUACAAAGAAAGAGAGUGAAAAAAGCAAAAAAGUAGAAAAAAG